GCCGGCAUAGCUCAGAUGGUAGAGCAACUGACUUGUAAUCAGUAGGUCCCGAGUUCGAUUCUUGGUGUCGGCACCA
Molecule: transfer RNA, 76 nt
Filed under: Xenorhabdus budapestensis
Lineage: Bacteria; Pseudomonadati; Pseudomonadota; Gammaproteobacteria; Enterobacterales; Morganellaceae
Description: tRNA-Thr
Rfam family: tRNA
About the family: Transfer RNA (tRNA) molecules are approximately 80 nucleotides in length.
Source: RNAcentral